RNAcentral lists this ribosomal RNA (813 nucleotides) under Entoloma sericeum. RNAcentral describes it as "partial small subunit ribosomal RNA". It matches the Rfam family "Bacterial small subunit ribosomal RNA", at positions 253 to 1045 of the family's 1533-position model. Lineage: Eukaryota; Fungi; Basidiomycota; Agaricomycetes; Agaricales; Entolomataceae. The record is from RNAcentral.
AAGGGUAAAUGCCUCCCAAGCCGAUGAUCAAAAGCCAUGUUUGAUAGAGCAGAUGGCCACAUUGGGUAUGAAAAGCCCCAAGUAGAAUUAUCUACCAGCAGUCAAGAAUAUUAGUCAAUGCUCGCAAGAGUGAACUAGCUAACUGAAAUCACAGGAUCCGCUACGUGUGGUGAAUGUUAUAACGUAAGGGAAAAAAAUGAUAUUACCUUACUAUUAGUGUUGUCCAAAACUGGUGCCAGAAGACUCGGUAAGGCCAGAGACGCAAACGUUAGUCGUCCUAAUCAGGCGUAAAGGGUAAGUAGGCUGCUUUAAAAGUUUAAUAUAAAAUUUUAAUUAGCUCUGUAUUAAAAAGUAAUAUUUGUAAUACAGUAAAAUAUAAAUGAAUUAAAGCUAGGAUCAAAUUGAGGAUAAUUAUAAAUAAUACUUAGUGUAGGGUUUAAAUCUGGUGAUACUAAGGGGAGUACUAACGGUGAAAGCUUUUUAUCUAGAAAUGAUUGACGCUGAGGAACGAAGGUGAGAAUAGGAAAUAGGAUUAGAUACCCAGAUACCUCUCACAGUCAACGAUGAAUGGUGGUUGUUAGUUAGUUUUAUUUAACUGAUAACGAUGUUAACACGAUAACCAUUCCGCCUUGCGAGUACGGUUGCAAAACUGAAACCAAAAAAAUUAGUCGGUCUCGAAGCAAACGAAGUGAAGCAUGUUAUUUAAUACGAUAAUACGCGUAAAAUCUUACCAGUCCUUGUAUAUCCAAUCUUUCUAAUUUAAAUUAGAGAGAUUGAGUAGUUUCUUUUUCAAAAGAUUAAGAAAUUCGUUUA